Non-coding RNA from Caenorhabditis elegans, 232 nucleotides. The record is from Ensembl. Lineage: Eukaryota; Metazoa; Nematoda; Chromadorea; Rhabditida; Rhabditidae.
GUUCCAUGUUAAGUAAAGAAAUUUUGUACGCUAAUCCGCACAUUGUAAAAGCGAGUAAAAUAAUGAGUGCAGUUCCCAGAAUGGCAGUAGAUAAAAGAGAUGACUAUGUUUGCAAUAAUAGCUGAAAGUGCGUAGAGGACUUGAAGCAUUCGAGAAUCGACGACAGUUUUGCAGUUUGGAGCAUCUGUUGCUAGACGGGUUAUCAAUUUUCCUGGAGCAUGAGCAGGGUUGU